UUUAGGCUUGCCAAAUACAUUGGCUUCAUCAAACAUUAUAAAUCAUGUUAAAAUCCAUAAAAAUCUACGUUCUUGGUAAUUCUCCGAGACUCGUUUUCCAAUACUGAGAGAUAACGAAAUUAAAACUAAUUGGAACCAAUCAACCCAAAAAAGAAAAAGAAAAAAAAAAGUCCGUUUGGACAUCUUUGGAAUAUGAGUUUAGGUCUCAAAUUCAAAUUCCACCCAAGUUGAGUUAGUGGCAGGGUAUAGUGGGAUCUAUGGGAUGAAAAAGCCUCACCAAUGAACUAAACCUCAAAAAAAAAAAAGGUCCCUAGA
Molecule: unclassified non-coding RNA, 315 nt
Filed under: Hevea brasiliensis (rubber tree)
Lineage: Eukaryota; Viridiplantae; Streptophyta; Magnoliopsida; Malpighiales; Euphorbiaceae
Source: RNAcentral